This 253-nucleotide ribosomal RNA is filed under the name uncultured bacterium. RNAcentral describes it as "partial 16S ribosomal RNA". It matches the Rfam family "Bacterial small subunit ribosomal RNA", at positions 524 to 776 of the family's 1533-position model. The record is from RNAcentral.
CACGUAGGGGACGAGCGUUGUCCGGAUUCAUUGGGCGUAAAGGGUGCGUAGGCGGCGCGGUAAGUCGGGUGUGAAAUCUCGGAGCUUAACUCCGAAACUGCAUUCGAUACUGCCGUGCUUGAGGACUGGAGAGGAGACUGGAAUUUACGGUGUAGCGGUGAAAUGCGUAGAUAUCUGGAGGAACACCGGUGGCGAAGGCGGCAUCCUGGACCAAUACUGACACUGAGGAGCGAAAGCCAGGGGAGCAAACGGG